Molecule: non-coding RNA, 46 nt
Filed under: Trichobilharzia regenti
Lineage: Eukaryota; Metazoa; Platyhelminthes; Trematoda; Strigeidida; Schistosomatidae
Source: RNAcentral
AUACUGCCGAAGAGUCCCAAACUAGGACGAAACAGCUGUCCAGUAC